Molecule: long non-coding RNA, 217 nt
Filed under: Elaeis guineensis (African oil palm)
Lineage: Eukaryota; Viridiplantae; Streptophyta; Magnoliopsida; Arecales; Arecaceae
Description: long non-coding RNA (EGUI_LNC072924)
Source: RNAcentral
GGUGACGCUUGAAGGUAUAGAAAUUUCUAAACAAAGAAAGGGUUGGCCGAACUUCAGCUAAACGACAGAGGGAAAGAAAUCCUAUAAGAAAUCUAAAGGAGUUCGGCGCUACAGAAACUAAAGAAAUGUUUCAGAAGCGAAAAAGAGCAAUAGUAAAAGGUAGAAGCGGAAGUCGAAGCCUGACGCAGAAAGUUUCUUGGUAUAAGCAGAAGCAGCC